CUGCUUGCAGGGGACCCGCCCCGCCCCUAUAUCUGACAGCGUUCGGGUUCGCCCGGACUAUGGACAUAAACGCGCAUGUAAUAAGCGGAUCGGACCCGGGGGCGGUACCCGGCGACUCCACCAAAAUCCCUUCGUUGGGGGCACCUGGGGUCGAAACAGGAUCGACGAACGUCUAAAGAUGUUUGCUUUGUCUCGGUGAGCUACCACCGAUAUCGGUGCAAAUUGUACAGUUGCCAACGACAACCGUGCUCCGGUGGCUCUGGCUGCGUAAGCAGUUCGAGUUAUCGAAACCUAAGUCCUUGCGCCUAGCAGCGUAAGGCGGGGCCCCCAGGAGCCUGGCAACAGAAUCCUGGACU
Molecule: transfer-messenger RNA, 356 nt
Filed under: Paracoccus denitrificans
Lineage: Bacteria; Pseudomonadati; Pseudomonadota; Alphaproteobacteria; Rhodobacterales; Paracoccaceae
Rfam family: Alphaproteobacteria transfer-messenger RNA
About the family: Bacterial tmRNA, also known as 10Sa RNA or SsrA, is named for its dual tRNA and mRNA-like properties. Its role is to liberate the mRNA from a stalled ribosome. To accomplish this part of the tmRNA is used as a reading frame that ends in a translation stop signal.
Source: RNAcentral